AGAGUUUGAUCAUGGCUCAGGACGAACGCUGGCGGCGUGCUUAACACAUGCAAGUCAAACGGUGAUGAUGGGGCUUGCCCUGUCUGAUCAGUGGCGAACGGGUGAGUAACACGUGAGUAACCUGCCCCAGACUCUGGGAUAACCCCGGGAAACCGGAGCUAAUACCGGAUAUGACCCUCGUACGCAUGUGCAGGGGGUGGAAAGUUUUUCGGUCUGGGAUGGGCUCGCGGCCUAUCAGCUUGUUGGUGAGGUAGUGGCUCACCAAGGCGACGACGGGUAGCCGGCCUGAGAGGGCGACCGGCCACACUGGGACUGAGACACGGCCCAGACUCCUACGGGAGGCAGCAGUGGGGAAUAUUGCACAAUGGGCGGAAGCCUGAUGCAGCGACGCCGCGUGAGGGAUGACGGCCUUCGGGUUGUAAACCUCUUUCAGCAGGGAAGAAGCGCAAGUGACGGUACCUGCAGAAGAAGCACCGGCUAACUACGUGCCAGCAGCCGCGGUA
RNAcentral lists this ribosomal RNA (503 nucleotides) under uncultured Actinomycetes bacterium. RNAcentral describes it as "bacterial SSU rRNA". It matches the Rfam family "Bacterial small subunit ribosomal RNA", at positions 8 to 522 of the family's 1533-position model. The record is from RNAcentral. Lineage: Bacteria; Bacillati; Actinomycetota; Actinomycetes.